This 500-nucleotide ribosomal RNA is filed under the name uncultured bacterium. RNAcentral's name for it is "bacterial SSU rRNA". It matches the Rfam family "Bacterial small subunit ribosomal RNA", at positions 28 to 533 of the family's 1533-position model. The record is from RNAcentral.
GACGAACGCUGGCGGCGUGCCUAACACAUGCAAGUCGAGCGGGGUUGAAGCGAGGGGUAACUCGAGUUUCUACCUAGCGGCGGACGGGUGAGUAACGCGUGGGCAACCUGCCUCAAGGACUGGGAUAACAGCUCGAAAGGGCUGCUAAUACCGGAUAAGCCUAUGGCCUCGCAUGGGGCCAUGAGCAAAGGGGAAACCCGCCUUGAGAUGGGCCCGCGUCCCAUCAGCUAGUUGGUGAGGUGAAGGCUCACCAAGGCGACGACGGGUAGCCGGCCUGAGAGGGUGACCGGCCACACUGGGACUGAGACACGGCCCAGACUCCUACGGGGGGCAGCAGUGGGGAAUCUUGCACAAUGGGCGAAAGCCUGAUGCAGCGACGCCGCGUGAGCGAAGAAGGCCUUCGGUUGUAAGCUCUGUCUGGAGGGACGGAAGGAAGUGACGGUACCUCCGGAGGAAGCCACGGCGUAACUACGUGCCAGCAGCCGGUAAACGUAAGCGUG